AGGAAAAGAAUGUCAGUUCAACCUAAAGCUAUUGUUAAUACAACAAAAUAUUAAACUUAACCUUAGAGUAAAUCAUGUAGAUAACAGCCUACUUGAAACAGGAUACAGCCUCUACCUAUGGGUAACACAAAUUCUUAAGUAACCAAGUAGGCCCAAGAGCAGCCAUCUUACACAAGAGCAUCAAAGCUUAACUACUAAUUAUAAAUUUCUAAAACAAAUUAAAACCCCCCUCACCAAUACGAGCAAUUCUAUAUGUCUACAGAAAACAAUGUUAAAACGUAACAAGAAGUUAGUUCUCUAAAAUGUAAAUGUAAGUCAAAACGAACCCCCACACUGACAAUAACAACCUUAAACAAUAGUAAUAACCCCACCAAGAAAACUUUAUUACACACCUGUCAACCUAACACAAGAACACUUAAAGAAAGACUAAAAGAAAGAGAAGGAAUUCGGCAAAACUGAUUCCGCCUGUUUACCAAAAACAUCGCCUCUUGGCUAAAGAUAUAAGAGGCCCCGCCUGCCCAGUGACAUGUUUAACGGCCGCGGUAUCCUAACCGCGCGAAGGUAGCGUAAUCACCUGUUUUUUAAUUGAAGACCUGUAUGAAAGGCACCACGAGAAUCACACUGUCUCCUUUAUCCAGUCAGUGAAACUAAUCUUCCCGUGAAAAAGCGGGAAUUCUAAUACAAGACGAGAAGACCCUUUGGAGCUUAAGACAUUAUUAGUACACAACUUACUUUUUUCCUUAUACAUAGUUAUACACUACUAUCCGUCUUGGGUUGGGGCAACCACGGAGUAAAAACUAACCUCCACGCUGAACGGAGUUCUCCUAAACAAAAAGCCACGACUUUAUGUAUCAAAAAACUGACACCAUUAGACCCAAUAUUUUGAUUAACGAACCAAGUUACCCUAGGGAUAACAGCGCAAUCCGCUUCGAGAGUUCAUAUCGACAAGCGGGCUUACGACCUCGAUGUUGGAUCAAGGUACCCUGGUGGUGUAGCCGCUACUAAAGGUUCGUUUGUUCAACGAUUAAAACCCCACGUGAUCUGAGUUCAGACCGGAGUAAUCCAGGUCAGUUUCUAUCUGUAAAAAGCUUCUUCCAGUACGAAAGGACAGAAAUAGCACGGCCAAUAUGAUACACAUGCCAUACUCAAUAACUUUUGAAUUUUCUUAAAAAUUUAUAAAUUUAUUAAUUAACUCAAGAUAAGAGAA
This 1207-nucleotide ribosomal RNA is filed under the name Eleutherodactylus glanduliferoides (La Visite robber frog). Its description in RNAcentral is "partial 16S ribosomal RNA". It matches the Rfam family "Bacterial large subunit ribosomal RNA", at positions 1529 to 2925 of the family's 2925-position model. Lineage: Eukaryota; Metazoa; Chordata; Amphibia; Anura; Eleutherodactylidae. The record is from RNAcentral.